Molecule: small nuclear RNA, 158 nt
Organism: Hemicordylus capensis (graceful crag lizard)
Lineage: Eukaryota; Metazoa; Chordata; Lepidosauria; Squamata; Cordylidae
Product: U1 spliceosomal RNA
Exons: 1
Source: RefSeq, a predicted model, not a curated record
ACACUUACCUAGCAAUGGGGACACCUUGUUUAUAAAGGAGGUUUUCCCAGGGUGAAGUUCAUUAAUUGCACUGUGGGCGUGUUCACCCCUGUGAUUUCCCCAAAUGUGGGAAACUUGACUGCAUAAUUUGUAGUUAUGCAGAUUUGUUGCAGGUUGUU